AUGCACCAAAUUGAAGUGGCACACCAACUUCGAUUAGCACAUGUGGCACAACAAGGAGCUUCAGCUACAAUCAACAGCGGCGUAGGAACAUCUACUGCGAGAACCUCAGAGCACAUUGAAGGAGCAUUCCACGAGCAAGUCACCGAUGCUGCAACAAACAAUGCAGAAUCAGUGUCAGAUAUGGCAAUCGUUCCAGCAAUGACGACAAGCACGCCUCUGCAAACCAGCACAAGCAACACUCAAGCAAAUGAAACAUCCGCCAAUACUGAAGUGAAUGAUGAAACUGAUGACGAAACACAAGGAGAAGAAGAAGAUGGACAAUCGGAAAUCAUGAUACCUCAACCACCAUAUGUUGGGCAGAGAUUUGGUUCUUUUGAAGAUGCCAAGGAGUACUACCAGAGAUAUGCGAUGUUCCAUGGAUUUGCGUGA
Molecule: ribosomal RNA, 429 nt
Filed under: Triticum aestivum (bread wheat)
Lineage: Eukaryota; Viridiplantae; Streptophyta; Magnoliopsida; Poales; Poaceae
Description: partial small subunit ribosomal RNA
Source: RNAcentral